CCGCAUACGAUCUGUGGAUGAAAGCAGGGGAUCUUCGGACCUUGUGCUAUUGGAAUGGCCGAUAUCUGAUUAGCUAGUUGGUAGGGUAAAAGCCUACCAAGGCGACGAUCAGUAGCUGGUCUGAGAGGACGACCAGCCACACUGGAACUGAGACACGGUCCAGACUCCUACGGGAGGCAGCAGUGGGGAAUUUUGGACAAUGGGGGCAACCCUGAUCCAGCAAUGCCGCGUGAGUGAAGAAGGCCCUCGGGUUGUAAAGCUCUUUUGUCAGGGAAGAAACGGAGUUCUCCAAUAUAGGAUUCUAAUGACGGUACCUGAAGAAUAAGCACCGGCUAACUACGUGCCAGCAGCCGCGGUAAUACGUAGGGUGCAAGCGUUAAUCGGAAUUACUGGGCGUAAAGCGUGCGCAGGCGGUUUUGUAAGUCUGAUGUGAAAUCCCCGGGCUCGACCUGGGAACUGCAUUGGAGACUGCAAGGCUAGAGUGUGUCAGAGGGGGGUAGAAUUCCACGUGUAGCAGUGAAUGCGUAGAGAUG
This 533-nucleotide ribosomal RNA is filed under the name uncultured beta proteobacterium. Its description in RNAcentral is "bacterial SSU rRNA". It matches the Rfam family "Bacterial small subunit ribosomal RNA", at positions 169 to 698 of the family's 1533-position model. Lineage: Bacteria; Pseudomonadati; Pseudomonadota; Betaproteobacteria. The record is from RNAcentral.